This 282-nucleotide ribosomal RNA is filed under the name uncultured bacterium. RNAcentral's name for it is "partial 16S ribosomal RNA". It matches the Rfam family "Bacterial small subunit ribosomal RNA", at positions 337 to 636 of the family's 1533-position model. The record is from RNAcentral.
UCCUACGGGACGCAGCAGUGGGGAAUAUUGCACAAUGGGGGAAACCCUGAUGCAGCAACGCCGCGUGGGUGAAGAAGUAUUUCGGUAUGUAAAGCCCUAUCAGCAGGGAAGAGAAUGACGGUACCUGACUAAGAAGCCCCGGCUAACUACGUGCCAGCAGCCGCGGUAAUACGUAGGGGGCAAGCGUUAUCCGGAUUUACUGGGUGUAAAGGGAGCGUAGACGGUUGUGCAAGUCUGAAGUGAAAGGCAGGGGCUUAACCCCUGAACUGCUUGGAAAAUGGC